This 465-nucleotide ribosomal RNA is filed under the name uncultured bacterium. RNAcentral's name for it is "partial 16S ribosomal RNA". It matches the Rfam family "Bacterial small subunit ribosomal RNA", at positions 339 to 795 of the family's 1533-position model. The record is from RNAcentral.
CUACGGGGGGCACCAGUGAGGAAUUUUGCGCAAUGGGGGGAACCCUGACGCAGCAACGCCGCGUGAGUGAUGAAGGCUUUCGGGUCGUAAAGCUCUGUCAAGUGGGAAGAACCUAUGCAGUGUUAAUAUCACUGUAUACUGACGGUACCACUGAAGGAAGCACCGGCUAACUCCGUGCCAGCAGCCGCGGUAAUACGGGGGGUGCAAGCGUUAUUCGGAAUCAUUGGGCGUAAAGGGCACGUAGGCGGCUUGGUAAGUCAGAUGUGAAAGCCCGGGGCUUAACCCCGGAAGUGCAUUUGAUACUGUCAGGCUUGAGUAUGGGAGAGGGAAGUGGAAUUCCUGGUGUAGAGGUGAAAUUCGUAGAUAUCAGGAGGAACACCGGUGGCGAAGGCGACUUCCUGGACCAAUACUGACGCUGAGGUGCGAAGGCGUGGGUAGCAAACAGGAUUAGAUACCCUAGUAGUC